Lynx canadensis (Canada lynx) is the source of this 1030-nucleotide long non-coding RNA. RefSeq lists it as uncharacterized. The transcript has 3 exons. Lineage: Eukaryota; Metazoa; Chordata; Mammalia; Carnivora; Felidae. The record is from RefSeq and is a predicted model, not a curated record.
UUCCUUAGGAACUACUGCAGGGAUUCUGGUAGAGCAACUCUGAGGGCAGCCUAAGAAUUUGUAUUGUUAACAACCUUGCGGACGUUCCUGUGCAGUGGGGCAUCAUUAGGUGGUCCAUAAUUCAACCCAAGUGACCCAACCCUCCUCUGAUUUCCAGAUUAGAUCACUGAUUCCUUGUGUCAUGUAUAUAUGCCAUGCAAAUAUAAAACUAAAAUAAUAUAUUCAAGAAUACAUUAAAUGCAUUUCCACGAAGAGCAAAUUUUAAAAGGUGCUAAGACAGAUCUGAUAGCUGGUUUGUACAAUAAAGCAAUUUAAGAAACUGGGACACAUUCCAAGACAUUUGAGAGGUCAAGGCUUCCCAGGGAGUCAGACAGCAACUUUGUCCAUGGAAAUGAAAAGCAGACCAAAUCCACAGAAGCCCCAGCACAUAUGGACACGUCAGACUACAGGAGUGUGGAUCUAACAUGGCAACCCGAAGAACACGUGGCCCAGUCCAAUCAUCACUGUGGGCAAAUCACUACAGUACUUAGAUUAAGUUAACGUGAAAAGAGCGUGUCAGCCUUUAUACUUGAAAUAAAGUGAGCAGUGUGUGCCGUUCUGGAUCCCUGCUGCUCCGCCAGUUCGCGGACACUGUCCUGAAAAGCGAUCCAUCCAGAUUCCAUACAAGGCCCCAACACUUGCUCCCCCCCGUACAGCCUCCCGUGCAGAAAUUCCAGCCGUGCAACAGACAUUCCCACAUCCAUUACCCCCAAACAGCCACCGAGGCCAAAGACCCCUUUUUUCUAUUACUCUCAAAUAUAAACAGAAGUCAAAUCCUGAGGCAGAAAUAAAUACUGAAAGCAAGUGAAGAUGCCCUCUCUUCAGGCCUGUCUCCUUGGGACAACCUUUCCUGAACAGAGCCAUGGUUUUGAUAUUAAUGACAUCUUUAUAAUCUCAUAUUGUCAGUGCCGUAAAAUCAACAUUUACAUACAAUGAAAUCACCUCAAGAGGAAAUAGAUUUUCCUAAAAUGAAGUCUGAACAUCAUCAGCA